This is a long non-coding RNA of Carassius carassius (crucian carp), 526 nucleotides long. RefSeq lists it as uncharacterized. The transcript is spliced from 2 exons. The record is from RefSeq and is a predicted model, not a curated record. Lineage: Eukaryota; Metazoa; Chordata; Actinopteri; Cypriniformes; Cyprinidae.
AAUCAGAUGUGUAUCAUUAUAAUGGAUGCGUUUGUCUCUUAAGGUGACCGCGCCUAAUUUACUAGCUCUGCUGUCAGUGUCUUUAAUGUAUGAAAAUGAAAGUAAAUCACUCACUGCUCUUGAUUGAAUUACUUUGUAGUUUUAACAAGAAUUUAUCCAAAGUCAAUCCAAAAAUCAGAUAGAAUUGUUUUACUAAUGGUGAAAUUGAUUUAAAAAAAAAAUAAUUAGGGACCUGACCAUGUUUUGCUUAAGUGUUUCUUUCUUUAAUUGCUAAUGCAACCUUUUCACACCACAGACUGAACCAAGUUAAGCAUUGCUUGCUUGGUAACUGUUCAACAAAGUAUUGAUAGUUGUGUAAAUAUUGUCAUACUGACAGUUGUCUGAAGUUUUGGUUGAUUCCAUUACAUAUCUUUUUAUCAAAGUUAUCCGACAUUAUCAAGUUGAAUUUGUUCUGAGUUAUUGUCAUAUUUUAUUACCAAUUUCUAAACUACAGCAAAUAAACUGUGAUAAUGUGAGAAAUGUUGAA